Ruditapes philippinarum (Manila clam) is the source of this 412-nucleotide long non-coding RNA. RefSeq lists it as uncharacterized. The record is from RefSeq and is a predicted model, not a curated record. NCBI's taxonomy places the organism in Eukaryota, Metazoa, Mollusca, Bivalvia, Venerida, Veneridae. The transcript is spliced from 3 exons.
GCUGAUUUGUCACCUGGUCACUACACACAAAAGUAUGCACGGCAUUGUGCCAUCAAACGCCAGAAAUGUCAGGAAACCUUUGCUAAGCCAUCAACAAAAGGAAGGCGCUGUUUUUGAAAAAAGAGCGUGCUGUCAACCAGUCAGCUACAGAGUCACUCGAAGGGGCAACAUAUCAGUCAGAAGUUGGCCACACAGCUGACAUAGACAUAGACAAAAUCCCCGAUCCUAUACCACGUGGAGUGUUCAAGCCAGUUUGUUCAAGUGGUGAACCCUCUUAUAUCACUGUGGAUCUUGAAACAACAGACCUUAUUCGAGGAGAUGUUUACCCCCAUAUUACACAGAUAGCAGCCAAACAUGUUGGUACCGAGAAGAGCUUCAACUGCUAAUGGCUACCAAAACUACCUAUGAGCGC